RNAcentral lists this ribosomal RNA (1018 nucleotides) under uncultured bacterium. RNAcentral's name for it is "bacterial SSU rRNA". It matches the Rfam family "Bacterial small subunit ribosomal RNA", at positions 357 to 1376 of the family's 1533-position model. The record is from RNAcentral.
AGGAAUAUUGGUCAAUGGACGAGAGUCUGAACCAGCCAAGUAGCGUGCAGGAAGACGGCCCUAUGGGUUGUAAACUGCUUUUAUAAGGGAAUAAAGUUAGUCUCGUGAGACUUUUUGCAUGUACCUUAUGAAUAAGGACCGGCUAAUUCCGUGCCAGCAGCCGCGGUAAUACGGAAGGUCCGGGCGUUAUCCGGAUUUAUUGGGUUUAAAGGGAGCGUAGGCCGGAGAUUAAGCGUGUUGUGAAAUGUAGACGCUCAACGUCUGCACUGCAGCGCGAACUGGUUUCCUUGAGUACGCACAAAGUGGGCGGAAUUCGUGGUGUAGCGGUGAAAUGCUUAGAUAUCACGAAGAACUCCGAUUGCGAAGGCAGCUCACUGGAGCGCAACUGACGCUGAAGCUCGAAAGUGCGGGUAUCGAACAGGAUUAGAUACCCUGGUAGUCCGCACGGUAAACGAUGGAUGCCCGCUGUUGGUCUGAAUAGGUCAGCGGCCAAGCGAAAGCAUUAAGCAUCCCACCUGGGGAGUACGCCGGCAACGGUGAAACUCAAAGGAAUUGACGGGGGCCCGCACAAGCGGAGGAACAUGUGGUUUAAUUCGAUGAUACGCGAGGAACCUUACCCGGGCUUGAAUUGCAGAGGAAGGAUUUGGAGACAAUGACGCCCUUCGGGGCCUCUGUGAAGGUGCUGCAUGGUUGUCGUCAGCUCGUGCCGUGAGGUGUCGGCUUAAGUGCCAUAACGAGCGCAACCCCUCUCCUUAGUUGCCAUCAGGUCAUGCUGGGCACUCUGGGGACACUGCCACCGUAAGGUGUGAGGAAGGUGGGGAUGACGUCAAAUCAGCACGGCCCUUACGUCCGGGGCUACACACGUGUUACAAUGGCAGGUACAGAGAGAGGGUCCUACGCAAAAGGGAUCAAAUCCUUAAAGCCUGUCUCAGUUCGGACUGGGGUCUGCAACCCGACCCCACGAAGCUGGAUUCGCUAGUAAUCGCGCAUCAGCCAUGGCGCGGUGAAUACGUUCCCG